Molecule: non-coding RNA, 34 nt
Submitted as: unclassified sequences
Source: Rfam
CUCUGGAUUAGCAAAUAAUUCAGGGCAGGAGGAA